Molecule: unclassified non-coding RNA, 249 nt
Filed under: Hevea brasiliensis (rubber tree)
Lineage: Eukaryota; Viridiplantae; Streptophyta; Magnoliopsida; Malpighiales; Euphorbiaceae
Source: RNAcentral
CAUCACAGAAAUCAAAAACUAAUACAAUUUAUAAUAAUUAUUGCUGCCAUUUGAGAUAAUAAACCAAUGUCCACCAAGAACCAUAUCACAUUUUAACCACAUGAUGAUGAUCCCAAUUCCCAUUUCCCUCUCUGUUUCAUUCAGCAUUUACCAAUACAAGGAAGCCAACCAUAAACCAAAACAGGGUAACGAAAACAAGAGACUAUUUUUUUUUAUUUUUUUUUAAAGUCCAAAUAACAUGCAAGAAAC